Molecule: ribosomal RNA, 371 nt
Filed under: uncultured organism
Description: partial 16S ribosomal RNA
Rfam family: Bacterial small subunit ribosomal RNA
Source: RNAcentral
GGAGGGUGCAAGCGUUGUCCGGAUUUAUUGGGGGUUUAAAGGGGUGCGUAGGCGGCCUAUUAAGUCAGUGGUGAAAGGGUAUCAGCUUAACUGUUGACGUGCCAUUGAAACUGACAGGCUUGAGUACAGACGAGGUAGGCGGAAUUUAUGGUGUAGCGGUGAAAUGCAUAGAUACCAUAAAGAACACCAAUUGCGAAGGCAGCUUACUAGACUGAGACUGACGCUGAGGCACGAAAGCGUGGGGAGCGAACAGGAUUAGAUACCCUGGUAGUCCACGCUGUAAACGGUGAUUACUGGAUGUGUGCGAUAGACAGUACGCGUCUGAGCGAAAGCGUUAAGUAAUCCACCUGGGGAGUACGAUCGCAAGAUUG